This is a long non-coding RNA of Eriocheir sinensis (Chinese mitten crab), 1323 nucleotides long. RefSeq lists it as uncharacterized. The record is from RefSeq and is a predicted model, not a curated record. The transcript has 2 exons. Lineage: Eukaryota; Metazoa; Arthropoda; Malacostraca; Decapoda; Varunidae.
GGCAAGGUCACGGUGUAGGUAGGUCAUGGGGUCACAAUGUUAAGGAAGGUAAGGUCAAAGUAGGUUACGUCAUGGGGUUAAAGGUAGGGUAGGUCACGGGUUCAGGGUAAGUCUCGGAGGUUAAAAUAGGUCACGAGGUCAAGAUAGGUCAAGGGGAGGACAGGUUAUGUUUUUUUUUAAGUCAAUUUAGCUGGGUUAGAAUUAUUGUAAGUUAGAUUACGUUAGUUAGGUUAGGUUAGCUAGACACAGGUUAGGUUAAUUAAGAGAGGUUACGUUCUAGAUAUUAAGAGUGGUUAUGUUCUAGUUAAAUUUGGUUAUCGUUGAAGUAGGUCACGGGGUCAAGGUCACGGGGUCAAGAUAGGUCAUGGGGAGGACAGGUUAUGUUUUUUUAAGGCAACCCUGACCCCAUUUUCCUUAAUUUUAGAGUAGCCCCCCUUAAACCUCCCCCCUCGGCAACCCUAACCCCAUUUUCCUUAAUUUUAGAGUAGCCCCCCUUAAACCUCCCCCCUCGGCAACCCUGACCCCAUUUUCUUUCAGUACCUCUACCAUUAAACCAUUGUUCUUCUCUCUAAUGACAUUCCCUGACUUAAAACAAAAUCCUAACCCUUAUUUAUUUAUCUCAAGAAUAAGUUAACGUAUAUGUUUUCAUUUUAAGGCAACCCCCCUUAAGUCAGUUUAGCUCAGGUUAGAGUUAUUGAAAGUUAGAGUACGUUAGAGUUAGGUUAGGUUAGCUAGACAUUGUUUUUUCUUUCCAUCAAAGAAUACGGCUCAAGGGCAACAAAAGGGGUACAAAAAAAAAAAAAAAAAGCCCGCUACUCGCCGCCGGUUGAGAGUGGUUAGGUUCAGGAUACAAAGUAGUUAAAUUUGGUUAUCGUUAAAUUAGGUUGAUUAGGAUGAAGAUUGGACUCAAAACAGCAAUCCCGGUGGUCGUAAAAAGAUGUAAUUUGACUGUUGCGUGACCUUUGCAAAGCGAAUGAAAACGGAUAGACUGAAACAUUUAAAUCAGUACUCUCUAGAAAGGCGAAGGGUGGGAGGAGACGCCUAAAGUUUAUGAAUGGAUGAAGGGGGAUGUUAAGAAGGUUUUGGUUGUACACGAGGCGGGUAGGACACGCAGCAAUAAUAAUAAUAAUAAUAAUAAUAAUAAUAAUAAUAAUAAUAAUAAUAAUAAUAAUAUAGAUAAAUAGAUAAAGAUAUUAAUUUAGAAUAGACUUAGAAUCAAUGAAGAGACAGAGAGAGAGAGAGAGAGAGAGAGAGAGAGAGAGAGAGAGAGAGAGAGAGAGAGAGAGCGAGAGAGAGAGAGAGAGAGAGAGAGAGAGAGAGAGA